Oncorhynchus tshawytscha (Chinook salmon) is the source of this 368-nucleotide long non-coding RNA. Lineage: Eukaryota; Metazoa; Chordata; Actinopteri; Salmoniformes; Salmonidae. The record is from Ensembl.
GCAGAGAUGAGGAGCGAGACGCGGGUCCAUGGCAGGUACUGGUCCGUGGCAGGUACUGGUCCGUGGCAGAUACUGGUCCGUGGCAGGUACUGGUCCGUGUCAGGUACUGGUCCGUGUCAGGUACUGGUCCGUGGCAGAUACUGGUCCGUGGCAGGUACUGGUCCGUGGCAGGUACUGGUCCGUGGCAGGUACUGGUCCGUGGCAGGUACUGGUCCGUGGCAGAUACUGGUCCGUGGCAGGUACUGGUCCGUGGCAGAUACUGGUCCGUGGCAGGUACUGGUCCGUGGCAGGUACUGGUCCGUGGCAGGUACUGGUCCGUGGCAGAUACUGGUCCGUGGCAGAUACUGGUCCGUGGCAGAUACUGGUCC